AUACUCAUGUUUCUCUUCAGAUCAUAUAAAUCUUUUGCAUUUUACUAUUCUCGUGGGUAGGAACAAGCUUGAGUGUUGCUUAAAUUUUUUGAGGCCUUGCAUAAGCAAAGCU
Molecule: small nuclear RNA, 112 nt
Organism: Physeter macrocephalus (sperm whale)
Lineage: Eukaryota; Metazoa; Chordata; Mammalia; Artiodactyla; Physeteridae
Gene: U5
Rfam family: U5 spliceosomal RNA
About the family: U5 RNA is a component of both types of known spliceosome. The precise function of this molecule is unknown, though it is known that the 5' loop is required for splice site selection and p220 binding, and that both the 3' stem-loop and the Sm site are important for Sm protein binding and cap methylation.
Source: Ensembl